CUGAAGUCCACGGUAUCACAAAUGUCAGCCUAUGUAACCAGUUCUAUGCUGAUCUUGACAAACGCACACCUAGACUGUCGGCUUUGUAGCGGUACAGAAAAAAGGCAGCACGCACAGGAAAGAUAUCAGCUGGAGAAGACAGAUGAUCAUCAACACUCCUGUUGUGCUUGUAACAGCGGUGUAGAUGUUGUUGUUCAAGUCCAGUUAACAUCACUCCUGCAAGCACUGCAACGGUGGUGGAAGAUGAUCAUGUAAAAAGUGAAAUCCCCAUGUGGACCGAUGCAUUUACAUUGUUGUUUGGAUUGACACGUUGCAUUUGGACUGCCCGAGGGAACCUGUUCACACUUUGACCUUCAUUCAGAAGAUCCUGAUGGGUCUGGAUGGCAAAGAACUGAAACCGUGACUUCUCAGUCUAAAUAAUGAACUGUUUCUAACAGACCCAACUCUUCUCCGUGGAUGGCAGUCCCUCCCUCAGCCUGGCUUGAGGUUUCUUCCUGGUAAAAAUUGUUCCUUUCUACUUUUGCCAAGUACUUGCUCAUGGGGGGAGGGGAAGGGGGGUGUCAACAGAUUGUUUGUAUUUCUAUCUAAUACGAUCUUCACUUUACAAUAAAAAGUGCCUUCUCGAUGUGAA
Archocentrus centrarchus (flier cichlid) is the source of this 631-nucleotide long non-coding RNA. RefSeq lists it as uncharacterized. NCBI's taxonomy places the organism in Eukaryota, Metazoa, Chordata, Actinopteri, Cichliformes, Cichlidae. The record is from RefSeq and is a predicted model, not a curated record. The transcript has 3 exons.